This 503-nucleotide ribosomal RNA is filed under the name uncultured bacterium. Its description in RNAcentral is "partial 16S ribosomal RNA". It matches the Rfam family "Bacterial small subunit ribosomal RNA", at positions 30 to 523 of the family's 1533-position model. The record is from RNAcentral.
AUUGAACGCUGGCGGCAGGCUCAACACAUGCAAGUCGAGCGGGGUGAUGGUGCUUGCACUAUCACUUAGCGGCGGACGGGUGAGUAAUGCUUAGGAAUCUGCCUAUUAGUGGGGGACAACAUCUCGAAAGGGAUGCUAAUACCGCAUACGUCCUACGGGAGAAAGCAGGGGAUCACUUGUGACCUUGCGCUAAUAGAUGAGCCUAAGUCGGAUUAGCUAGUUGGUGGGGUAAAGGCCUACCAAGGCGACGAUCUGUAGCGGGUCUGAGAGGAUGAUCAGCCACACUGGGACUGAGACACGGCCCAGACUCCUACGGGAGGUAGCAGUGGGGAAUAUUGGACAAUGGGGGGAACCCUGAUCCAGCCAUGCCGCGUGUGUGAAGAAGGCCUUAUGGUUGUAAAGCACUUUAAGCGAGGAGGAGGCUCUUUUGGUUAAUACCCAAGAUGAGUGGACGUUACUCGCAGAAUAAGCACCGGCUAACUCUGUGCCAGCAGCCGCGGUAA